UGAAACCGUGUACGUACAAGCAGUGGGAGCCUCUUUAUGGGGUGACUGCGUACCUUUUGUAUAAUGGGUCAGCGACUUAUAUUCUGUAGCAAGGUUAACCGAAUAGGGGAGCCGAAGGGAAACCGAGUCUUAACUGGGCGUUAAGUUGCAGGGUAUAGACCCGAAACCCGGUGAUCUAGCCAUGGGCAGGUUGAAGGUUGGGUAACACUAACUGGAGGACCGAACCGACUAAUGUUGAAAAAUUAGCGGAUGACUUGUGGCUGGGGGUGAAAGGCCAAUCAAACCGGGAGAUAGCUGGUUCUCCCCGAAAGCUAUUUAGGUAGCGCCUCGUGAAUUCAUCUCCGGGGGUAGAGCACUGUUUCGGCAAGGGGGUCAUCCCGACUUACCAACCCGAUGCAAACUGCGAAUACCGGAGAAUGUUAUCACGGGAGACACACGGCGGGUGCUAACGUCCGUCGUGAAGAGGGAAACAACCCAGACCGCCAGCUAAGGUCCCAAAGUCAUGGUUAAGUGGGAAACGAUGUGGGAAGGCCCAGACAGCCAGGAUGUUGGCUUAGAAGCAGCCAUCAUUUAAAGAAAGCGUAAUAGCUCACUGGUCGAGUCGGCCUGCGCGGAAGAUGUAACGGGGCUAAACCAUG
RNAcentral lists this ribosomal RNA (638 nucleotides) under Escherichia coli. RNAcentral describes it as "partial 23S ribosomal RNA". It matches the Rfam family "Bacterial large subunit ribosomal RNA", at positions 551 to 1191 of the family's 2925-position model. The record is from RNAcentral. Lineage: Bacteria; Pseudomonadati; Pseudomonadota; Gammaproteobacteria; Enterobacterales; Enterobacteriaceae.